UGGGGAAUAUUGCACAAUGGGCGCAAGCCUGAUGCAGCAACGCCGCGUGAACGAUGAAGGUCUUCGGAUCGUAAAGUUCUGUUGCAGGGGAAGAUAAUGACGGUACCCUGUGAGGAAGCCCCGGCUAACUACGUGCCAGCAGCCGCGGUAAUACGUAGGGGGCUAGCGUUAUCCGGAUUUACUGGGCGUAAAGGGUGCGUAGGUGGUCUUUCAAGUCGGUGGUUAAAGGCUACGGCUCAACCGUAGUUAGCCUCCGAAACUGGAAGACUUGAGUGCAGGAGAGGAAAGUGGAAUUCCUAGUGUAGCGAUGAAAUGCGUAGAGAUUAGGAGGAACACCGGUGGCGAAAGCGGCUUUUUGGCCUGCAACUGACACUGAGGCGCGAAAGCGUGGGGAGCAAACAGG
Molecule: ribosomal RNA, 403 nt
Filed under: Verrucomicrobiota bacterium
Lineage: Bacteria; Pseudomonadati; Verrucomicrobiota
Description: Verrucomicrobia bacterium partial 16S ribosomal RNA
Rfam family: Bacterial small subunit ribosomal RNA
Source: RNAcentral